RNAcentral lists this transfer RNA (69 nucleotides) under Urocitellus parryii (Arctic ground squirrel). RNAcentral's name for it is "Spermophilus parryii (Arctic ground squirrel) tRNA". It matches the Rfam family "tRNA". Rfam says of the family: Transfer RNA (tRNA) molecules are approximately 80 nucleotides in length. Their secondary structure includes four short double-helical elements and three loops (D, anti-codon, and T loops). The record is from Rfam by way of RNAcentral. RNAcentral also lists the same sequence under 2 other names. Lineage: Eukaryota; Metazoa; Chordata; Mammalia; Rodentia; Sciuridae.
GGGGUUGUAGCUCAGUGGUAGAGUACUUGCCUUGCAUGCAUGAGACCCUGGGUUCAAUCCCCAUCACCA